GAUGAACGCUGGCGGCGUGCUUAAUACAUGCAAGUCGAGCGAAGGAACGAGAAGCUUGCUUCUCUGAUGUUAGCGGCGGACGGGGGAGUAAUAAGUGGAGAACCUACCUAUAAGACUGGGAUAACUUCGGGAAACAGGAGCUACUACCGGGUAAUAUUUUGAACCGCAUGGUUCAAGGGUGAAGGACGGUCUUGCUGUCACUUAGAGAUGGAUCCGCGCUGCAUUAGCUAGUUGGUAGGGUAACGGCUUACCAAGGCACCGAUGCAUAGCCGACCUGAGAGGGUGAUCGGCGCCACGGGACGUGAAACACGGCCCCUAGACCGACGGGAGGCACAGGUAGGGAAUAUACGGCACAGUGCGGAAGCCUGACGGAGCGACGCCGCGCGAGUGAUGAGGGGCUUCGGGUGGUAUAACGCUCUUAUGAGGGAAAAACAUAGUUGUAAGUAACUGUGCGCAUCUGAAGGUAGCCUAAGAAGAAGGCCACGCUAAAUAACUG
Molecule: ribosomal RNA, 496 nt
Filed under: uncultured bacterium
Lineage: Bacteria
Description: partial 16S ribosomal RNA
Rfam family: Bacterial small subunit ribosomal RNA
Source: RNAcentral